RNAcentral lists this ribosomal RNA (725 nucleotides) under Escherichia coli. Its description in RNAcentral is "partial 23S ribosomal RNA". It matches the Rfam family "Bacterial large subunit ribosomal RNA", at positions 254 to 1016 of the family's 2925-position model. The record is from RNAcentral. Lineage: Bacteria; Pseudomonadati; Pseudomonadota; Gammaproteobacteria; Enterobacterales; Enterobacteriaceae.
CGAACGGGGAGCAGCCCAGAGCCUGAAUCAGUGUGUGUGUUAGUGGAAGCGUCUGGAAAGGCGUGCGAUACAGGGUGACAGCCCCGUACACAAAAAUGCACAUGCUGUGAGCUCGAUGAGUAGGGCGGGACACGUGGUAUCCUGUCUGAAUAUGGGGGGACCAUCCUCCAAGGCUAAAUACUCCUGACUGACCGAUAGUGAACCAGUACCGUGAGGGAAAGGCGAAAAGAACCCCGGCGAGGGGAGUGAAAAAGAACCUGAAACCGUGUACGUACAAGCAGUGGGAGCACAGAGCAAUCUGUGUGACUGCGUACCUUUUGUAUAAUGGGUCAGCGACUUAUAUUCUGUAGCAAGGUUAACCGAAUAGGGGAGCCGAAGGGAAACCGAGUCUUAACUGGGCGUUAAGUUGCAGGGUAUAGACCCGAAACCCGGUGAUCUAGCCAUGGGCAGGUUGAAGGUUGGGUAACACUAACUGGAGGACCGAACCGACUAAUGUUGAAAAAUUAGCGGAUGACUUGUGGCUGGGGGUGAAAGGCCAAUCAAACCGGGAGAUAGCUGGUUCUCCCCGAAAGCUAUUUAGGUAGCGCCUCGUGAAUUCAUCUCCGGGGGUAGAGCACUGUUUCGGCAAGGGGGUCAUCCCGACUUACCAACCCGAUGCAAACUGCGAAUACCGGAGAAUGUUAUCACGGGAGACACACGGCGGGUGCUAACGUCCGUCGUGAAGA